Long non-coding RNA from Formica exsecta, 2429 nucleotides. RefSeq lists it as uncharacterized. The record is from RefSeq and is a predicted model, not a curated record. The transcript has 2 exons. NCBI's taxonomy places the organism in Eukaryota, Metazoa, Arthropoda, Insecta, Hymenoptera, Formicidae.
AUCGAUCAAUAGAUACGAUGUAGAAAGUCCGCGAAGAAACAUCAAUAAUCAUGAUUUUUAUUAUAUGUACAUUUAAAUUAGCGCUCAUUCAGAUGUCUAAAACGCACGAUUCUUAGAUGACAAAAUGCACACGCGUUAGAAAUAGAAAGGACUAGAUUUUUCUUAGAAACAAUCUGGUCGAAGCGGCUGGCGUAGGCCUUUCCUCGGCCUUUAAGGGAACAAUGAAUCUUCGAUAAAUCGUUCGAUAAAUUUUUCUAUCUAUUCCGAGUGACGAGUGAGAAGGACGUAAAGAAUUUCCUCUCUCUCUCUCUCUCAUAAGACUGAAACGAACGUUAAGAGAGCGGUCGAGAUGGACCGAGCAUAAAUCCUGAUCCACUUCGACCCGAGUCGUCUGGCUAUAACACGUUCGUUCCGACGCUCGUAAUUCAUGGCAUUCGAAUACUCUCACGGAUAUCCGUCUUCCACGUAGUACAAACUGCAGUUUAAACAGCAAUCGUCCAUGCAGAUGGUUGGGGAAUUAAAAUAGCGGCGGGAGAUACAGAAAUUACGAGUACAAUAGAAUAAGUGAUAAUAUCGCAGUACACUGAUAUUAUUCGCAGAUAUUUUCGUAACAAACAAAAUUAUCUUUCUAACUGACAAACAAAUACCGUAAUUAAUUAGAAAUAUUCUAAUAAUGACAAUGUAACACGCACAUCUCUCGGUUCUUUAUUUAUCCGACUCGAAAUCGAUACUUGCACCGUGAAUUUGCUAUUUUAGAGCACUUCGUAUGCCCUCCAUGAAUAAUUCGAGACAAAAGAAUUUCAUAUAGAUAUUAAAUAUUCUAAAAGAAAACACGCACACACAGAAAUUUGAAAACUUUAGCCAUUUUAUACCUGAAAAGAUGUACGCACAAGAGAAAUAUAAUUUUGCACACAUUAUUACUAUCGUAGAAAUCAAUUCGUAGAGACGAAAAUAAUUAGUACUGCUGUUACGAUUAUAGUACAUGGAUAUUUUAUUGUCGGCGUUGGAUUUGUAUUAUCAAGAGAAACUAAUUUUACAUCGGGUUCAGGAAGGUGAUCAGGAUUCAAAUCGAUGGACGAAUGUCUGUCGCAGAUACUCGUGUAAUUUUCAGGGCUAGAUAGAGAGACAAAAGAAAAUGAAGACGCGUUCGAAGUAGAAGAUACAACAGUACAACGGUUGAUCAUAUCAUUAAGCCUUAAAUCCGUCGAGAAGAGUGCUGUCCGAACUCUGAUAAAAGAGAGAUAAAGGGGAUCAAAAGAUCGAUUACGAUCAAAAGCGCGAUCUCGAAACUAGAAGCGACCUACUCGAGUCUCUUUUGAUGCUUAACUUACAGAUGUGAUGAUGAGAGGAUCACAGAUGCGAACGAACAAAUUGAGACGUGAUCACGUACGGGUACGCGUGUGUGUAUGUAUGCAAGUGUAUGUGUGUGGCCUUGUACAUGAGACGAGAGAAAAAAAAAAAGAUACGGAGAAAGGAGGGAAAGUCUAAGGAGAUCGGAAAUAUGUACAAGCGUUUAUAGGUAAUACGUGUUUCGUGCUAGAAGCUUUGAUAUAUCGAUUAUCGCCGUUGCGAAUUAUAGUUAUCCGGUCGGUGCGCAGUCGAUUUUUUGUAAGAUAUAGUUUCUCUAAGGCGGUUGUAAAUAAAUGGAGGAGAAUAUACAAUAAAAGAGCGAAAUUCUCUCGGUGUUUAGCGCUAGUUGUGUCGACAUGUUUCUUCCUAUAGCAUAUAUAUAUAUAUAUAAUAUAUAUAUAUACACAUAUUUAUAUAUACAAGAUAUAAAUAUAUUUAUUAUUACGUUGUUCUAUUAUAAUAUUUAUUGUAAUAUCUGACAUAUAUAUAUAUAGAAUUUACGCGCGACAUGUUACGUUUAUUGAAAGUCCCAAAGACUCAUGCCGAGAUCUCAUGUUUCUUCUCUCUCCUUCACUUCUUUGCCUAUGACUCCUAAAUAGAGCAGCUAGAAUAUCACGAAACAAGUGAUAGGUACAAGACGAAUAUUUAAAUAACAAAACAAAACUUUAAAGAAUAUUAAAUGAUUGUUUAGAUUUAACUGUUGGAGAGUUUAAUUAUUUAAAUACCAAUUUACAUUUCACUUCCAAUGUCGCAAGAGUAAAUCUCUUGCUGGAAAUUCGUCCUAUUCUUCCGGAUAGAUUUCUCUCGUGCACAUCGUUGACGCAUUUACGGAUCUCGGUAUAAGUCUUCUCCGUAAAAAGACGAAAAUCAGGGCGAAAUUACGAAAGAACGCAAUUCGCAUUCGCGAGUGAUAUAAGAGGAAAACGAGUAGAGGAAAGGGAUUCUCUCUUUACUAUAUCACAUUUCUAAACUGUACUUUUUCUAUGUCCGCAUAAUCUAGUUCCUACGCAAUGUUUGUACUCUUAUACCCUUUGUACUAUUUGUACCUUACGAAUUGCAAUACACUCGUCCGCAAUAAA